RNAcentral lists this ribosomal RNA (1535 nucleotides) under Streptomyces sp. PVA_94-07. The record is from RNAcentral. Lineage: Bacteria; Bacillati; Actinomycetota; Actinomycetes; Kitasatosporales; Streptomycetaceae.
GACCUCACCUUGGCUGACCCCUCGCGCAGCCGAGCGGCUGAUUGAGCAGACGCGCAGCAAGGCAACAGCCACAACGGUCAGCCUGUGCCGGCACAAACAGCCAUGUGGUUGCCCAUCGCUGACACAAACCGGCUUUGAUCAACUCUCUCUGGCAAUCGAUCGACGAUCACUGUCACAGGUCACACGAACCCCUCGCGCGUCGGCCUUGCCGUAAGAACAGUUCCGAUAUAUCGUUGAGGCAUCGCGACCGAUUGCGAACGGAAGGAGCGUUGCGAUGCGUAUCCACGGACACGAGCACGAGCAUGAGCACGGACUGGGGCACGGGCGGCAGUUCGGCUCCCACCGCGGAGGGCGCGGCCCUGAGGGGUUCGAGCGUUGGGGCGGGGGCCUGCGUGGGCCUGACGGUGACGACCGGCGGCGUAUGGCCUUCGGGCCGCUCGGGCCCGGCUUCGGGCCCGGCGGGCCCUGGGGCGGGCGCGGGCGUGGCGGCGGCCGGGGGAGGGCGCGGCGCGGUGACGUGCGCGCCUCGAUCCUGGCGCUGCUCGCCGACCGGCCGAUGCACGGCUACGAGAUGAUCCAGGAGAUCGCCGAACGCAGUGGCGGCGCCUGGAAGCCCAGCCCCGGAUCGGUGUACCCGACCCUUCAGUUGCUGGAGGACGAGGGGCUCAUCGCCAGUGAGAGCAGCGGCGGCAAGAAGCUGUUCGCGCUCACCGAGGAGGGCCGGACCGCCGCCGAGGCGGGGCCGGACGCCCCCUGGGAAGAGGUCGGCCGGGGAGUCGACUGGGAGAGCGUCAACGAGAUCCGCCAGGCCGGUGCCGGGCUGAUGGAGGCGUUCGGCCAGGUCUGGAAGACCGGCACCAAGGAGCAGCAGGAGAAGGCGCUCGCCGUCGUCAACGACGCCCGCAAGCGGCUCUACCUGAUCCUCGCCGACCAGGACUGACCCCGCGGCGCGCCACGGGGGCGCGCGGAACGACCCGCACGCCUCCCGCGCGCGCCAGGCCGCCCCUCCUCCGCAGGGAGGAGGGGCGGCCGCGUCAUGCCCACCCUGUGUCGGACGCGCGAAUGCGUCCCCCCGGGGAUGUGGACGAAGCGCCCGAAUGGUGAGGUGGUGGGUGUGCACCGCCCUCUCCCCACCUCGGACCCCGGACCCGUCCCGGCCCACGGUUCCCCGCGGCCCGAGCUGGCCAACGCCCUGGCGGGCGCGCGCCGCCGCGCCCAGCGGGACGGCGACGGCCAGGCCGACACCGCGCACCUGCUCCACGCCCUGCUGGAGCACGACCCCGCCAGCCGCGAGGCCGUCGACGCCUGCGAGCAGGGCGGCGAACAACUGGUGAAGCUCCUCGGCCUGCUGGUCCAGCGGAACAUCGGCUACGGGCUCAAGUGGCACGGCUCCGUCGAGGACUCCGGCGCGGUGCCGAUGGCGCGGUCCGACGGCUGGUCGCCCGCCGCGGCCGGGGCGCUGGAGGCCGCCCGGGAGCGGGCCUACGCCCGGGGCGACCGGCCGGCGGGCCCCGAUCUGCUGGCCGGGCUGGUCG